UACGUAGGGAGCAAGCGUUGUCCGGAAUCAUUGGGCGUAAAGCGCGCGUAGGUGGCCUCAUAAGUCCGCUGUGAAAGUCAAAGGCUCAACCUUUGAAAGCCGGUGGAUACUGUGAGGCUAGAGUACGGAAGAGGAGAGCGGAAUUCCUGGUGUAGCGGUGGAAUGCGCAGAUAUCAGGAGGAACACCCGUGGCGAAGGCGGCUCUCUGGGACGGUACUGACACUGAGACGCGAAAGCGUGGGGAGCGAACAGG
RNAcentral lists this ribosomal RNA (253 nucleotides) under uncultured bacterium. Its description in RNAcentral is "partial 16S ribosomal RNA". It matches the Rfam family "Bacterial small subunit ribosomal RNA", at positions 524 to 776 of the family's 1533-position model. The record is from RNAcentral.